RNAcentral lists this ribosomal RNA (468 nucleotides) under uncultured bacterium. RNAcentral's name for it is "partial 16S ribosomal RNA". It matches the Rfam family "Bacterial small subunit ribosomal RNA", at positions 28 to 507 of the family's 1533-position model. The record is from RNAcentral.
GACGAACGCUGGCGGCGUGCUUAACACAUGCCAGCCGAACGGAAAGGCCCUGCUUUUGUGGGGUGCUCGAGUGGCGAACGGGUGAGUAACACGUGAGUAACCUGCCCUUGACUUUGGGAUAACUUCAGGAAACUGGGGCUAAUACCGGAUAGGAGCUCCUGCUGCAUGGUGGGGGUUGGAAAGUUUCGGCGGUUGGGGAUGGACUCGCGGCUUAUCAGCUUGUUGGUGGGGUAGUGGCUUACCAAGGCUUUGACGGGUAGCCGGCCUGAGAGGGUGACCGGCCACAUUGGGACUAAGAUACGGCCCAGGCUCCUACGGGAGGCAGCAGUGGGGAAUAUUGCACAAUGGGCGGAAGCCUGAUGCAGCAACGCCGCGUGCGGGAUGACGGCCUUCGGGUUGUAAACCGCUUUCGCCUGUGACGAAGCGUGAGUGACGGUAAUGGGUAAAGAAGCACCGGCUAACUACGUG